Molecule: ribosomal RNA, 1856 nt
Filed under: Listeria monocytogenes
Lineage: Bacteria; Bacillati; Bacillota; Bacilli; Caryophanales; Listeriaceae
Description: partial 23S ribosomal RNA
Rfam family: Bacterial large subunit ribosomal RNA
Source: RNAcentral
CUGAGUACGGCGGAACACGUGAAAUUCCGUCGGAAUCCGGGAGGACCAUCUCCCAAGGCUAAAUACUCCCUAGUGACCGAUAGUGAACCAGUACCGUGAGGGAAAGGUGAAAAGCACCCCGGAAGGGGAGUGAAACAGUUCCUGAAACCGUGUGCCUACAAGUAGUUAGAGCCCGUUAAUGGGUGAUAGCGUGCCUUUUGUAGAAUGAACCGGCGAGUUACGAUUUGUUGCAAGGUUAAGCGGAAAAAGCGGAGCCGUAGCGAAAGCGAGUCUGAAUAGGGCGCAUAAGUAACAGGUCGUAGACCCGAAACCAGGUGAUCUACCCAUGUCCAGGAUGAAGGUAAGGUAAUACUUACUGGAGGUCCGAACCCACGCACGUUGAAAAGUGCGGGGAUGAGGUGUGGGUAGCGGAGAAAUUCCAAUCGAACUUGGAGAUAGCUGGUUCUCUCCGAAAUAGCUUUAGGGCUAGCCUCGAGGUAAAGAGUCAUGGAGGUAGAGCACUGUUUGGACUAGGGGCCCUUCUCGGGUUACCGAAUUCAGAUAAACUCCGAAUGCCAUGUACUUAUACUCGGGAGUCAGACUGCGAGUGAUAAGAUCCGUAGUCGAAAGGGAAACAGCCCAGACCACCAGUUAAGGUCCCCAAAUAUAUGUUAAGUGGAAAAGGAUGUGGGGUUGCUUAGACAACCAGGAUGUUGGCUUAGAAGCAGCCACCAUUGAAAGAGUGCGUAAUAGCUCACUGGUCGAGUGACCCCGCGCCGAAAAUGUACCGGGGCUAAACAUAUUACCGAAACUGUGGAUGAACCUCUUUAGAGGUUCGUGGUAGGAGAGCGUUCUAAGGGCGGUGAAGUCAGACCGGAAGGACUGGUGGAGCGCUUAGAAGUGAGAAUGCCGGUAUGAGUAGCGAAAGAAGGGUGAGAAUCCCUUCCACCGAAUAUCUAAGGUUUCCUGAGGAAGGCUCGUCCGCUCAGGGUUAGUCGGGACCUAAGCCGAGGCCGAUAGGCGUAGGCGAUGGACAACAGGUAGAGAUUCCUGUACCAGUGCUAAUUGUUUAACCGAUGGGGUGACACAGAAGGAUAGGGAAUCGCACGAAUGGAAAUGUGCGUCCAAGCAGUGAGUGUGAGAAGUAGGCAAAUCCGCUUCUCGCGAAGCAUGAGCUGUGAUGGGGAAGGAAAUUAAGUACGGAAGUUCCUGAUUUCACGCUGUCAAGAAAAGCCUCUAGGAAGAGUAGUACUGCCCGUACCGCAAACCGACACAGGUAGAUGAGGAGAGAAUCCUAAGGUGAGCGAGAGAACUCUCGUUAAGGAACUCGGCAAAAUGACCCCGUAACUUCGGGAGAAGGGGUGCUCUAUUAGGGUGCAAGCCCGAGAGAGCCGCAGUGAAUAGGCCCAGGCGACUGUUUAGCAAAAACACAGGUCUCUGCAAAACCGUAAGGUGACGUAUAGGGGCUGACGCCUGCCCGGUGCUGGAAGGUUAAGAGGAGUGCUUAGCUUCGGCGAAGGUACGAAUUGAAGCCCCAGUAAACGGCGGCCGUAACUAUAACGGUCCUAAGGUAGCGAAAUUCCUUGUCGGGUAAGUUCCGACCCGCACGAAAGGCGCAACGAUCUGGGCACUGUCUCAACGAGAGACUCGGUGAAAUUAUAGUACCUGUGAAGAUGCAGGUUACCCGCGACAGGACGGAAAGACCCCGUGGAGCUUUACUGCAACCUGAUAUGGAAUGUUUGUACCGCUUGUACAGGAUAGGUAGGAGCCGAAGAGACGUGUGCGCUAGCAUACGAGGAGGCAAUGGUGGGAUACUACCCUGGCUGUAUGACCAUUCUAACCCGCCACGCUUAGCGCGUGGGGAGACAGUGUCAGGU